RNAcentral lists this ribosomal RNA (405 nucleotides) under uncultured bacterium. Its description in RNAcentral is "partial 16S ribosomal RNA". It matches the Rfam family "Bacterial small subunit ribosomal RNA", at positions 30 to 526 of the family's 1533-position model. The record is from RNAcentral.
AUUGAACGUUGGCGGCAGGCUCAACACAUGCAAGUCGAACGAGCGGCGGACGGGUGAGUAAUGCCUGGGAAUCUAGCUUACGGAGGGGGACAACUACGGGAAACGGUAGCUAAUACCGCGUACCAUCGGAUGAGCCCAAGUGGGAAUAGGUAGUUGGUGAGGUAAAGGCACACCAAGCCGACGAGCUCUAGCUGGUCUGAGUGGAUGACCAUCCACACAGAGACUGAGCAACGGCCCAAACUCCGACGGCAGGCAGCAGUGGGGAAUAUUGCGCAAUGGGGGCAACCUGACGCAGCCCUGCCGCUUGGAUGAAGAAGGCCUUCGGGUUGUAAAGUUCUUUCGGUAGCGAGGCGUUAACUACAGGAGAAACACCGGGUAGCUCCGUGCCAGCCGCCGCGGUAAUAC